GCCAGUUGUCGCGCCAGCGGCACGGCUGGUUAGCCACGUUCGGAAGGGAUAAGCGCUGAAAGCAUCUAAGUGCGAAGCUCGCCUCGAGAUGAGAUCUCCCACCGGGUCAACCGGGUAAGGCCCCUCGAAGACCACGAGGUUGAUAGGCCGGAAGUGGAAGCACGGCAACGUGUGGAGCUGACCGGUACUAAUAGGCCGAGGGCUUGACUCU
RNAcentral lists this ribosomal RNA (211 nucleotides) under Actinomycetota bacterium. Its description in RNAcentral is "partial 23S ribosomal RNA". It matches the Rfam family "Bacterial large subunit ribosomal RNA", at positions 2716 to 2925 of the family's 2925-position model. Lineage: Bacteria; Bacillati; Actinomycetota. The record is from RNAcentral.